UACGUAGGGUGCAAGCGUUGUCCGGAAUUAUUGGGCGUAAAGAGCUCGUAGGCGGCCUGUCGCGUCGGCUGUGAAAACCCGAGGCUCAACCUCGGGCCUGCAGUCGAUACGGGCAGGCUAGAGUUCGGUAGGGGAGACUGGAAUUCCUGGUGUAGCGGUGAAAAUGCGCAGAUAUCAGGAGGAACACCGGUGGCGAAGGCGGGUCUCUGGGCCGAAACUGACGCUGAGGAGCGAAAGCGUGGGGAGCGAACAGG
Molecule: ribosomal RNA, 254 nt
Filed under: uncultured bacterium
Lineage: Bacteria
Description: partial 16S ribosomal RNA
Rfam family: Bacterial small subunit ribosomal RNA
Source: RNAcentral